Molecule: ribosomal RNA, 328 nt
Filed under: uncultured eukaryote
Lineage: Eukaryota
Description: partial 18S ribosomal RNA
Rfam family: Eukaryotic small subunit ribosomal RNA
Source: RNAcentral
CCCUUAGAUGUUCUGGGCCGCACGCGCGCUACACUGACUACUUCAACGAGUUGUUUCCUUGAUCGAAAGGUCUGGGUAAUCUUUGAAAGGUAGUCGUGAUGGGGAUAAAUCCUUGCAAUUUUUGAUCUUCAACGAGGAAUUCCUAGUAAACGCAAGUCAUCAGCUUACAUUGAUUACGUCCCUGCCCUUUGUACACACCGCCCGUCGCACCUACCGAUUGAAUGGUCCGGUGAAUCUUUAGGACUGUGGCUGAGGCCUUGCCUUGUGCGGGUCUGGCCGUGGGAAUUUAGUUAAACCUUACCAUUUAGAGGAAGGUGAAGUCGUAACA